AAUGGACGAAAGUCUGAUCCAGCGACGCCGCGUGAAGGACGAAGGUUUUCGGAUCGUAAACUUCUUUUGCAGGGGACGAAAGCCCGCAAGGGUUUGACGGUACUCUGCGAAUAAGCCACGGCUAACUACGUGCCAGCAGCCGCGGUAAUACGUAGGUGGCGAGCGUUACUCGGAAUUACUAGGCGUAAAGCGCGUGUAGGCGGGAGCUUAAGUCCGCUGUGAAAUCUCAUGGCCUAACCAUGAGCGGCCGGCGGAUACUGGGUUUCUUGAAUUCGGUAGAGGUAACUGGAAUUCCAGGUGUAGCGGUGAAAUGCGUAGAUAUCUGGAAGAACGCCAAAGGCGAAGGCAGGUUACUGGGCCGCAAUUGACGCUGAGACGCGAAGGCUAGGGGAGCAAA
This 397-nucleotide ribosomal RNA is filed under the name uncultured bacterium. Its description in RNAcentral is "bacterial SSU rRNA". It matches the Rfam family "Bacterial small subunit ribosomal RNA", at positions 370 to 772 of the family's 1533-position model. The record is from RNAcentral.